GAUGAAGAACGUAGCGAAAUGCGAUACGUAAUGUGAAUUGUAGAAUUCGGUGAAUCAUCGAGUCUUUGAACGCACAUUGCGCCCUCUGGUAUUCCGGAGGGCAUGCCUGUCCGAGCGUCAUUGCUGCCCUCAAGCACGGCUUGUGUGUUGGGCUCCGUCCCCCGAUCCCGGGGGACGGGCCCGAAAGGCAGCGGCGGCACCGCGUCCGGUCCUCGAGCGUAUGGGGCUUUGUCACCCGCUCUGUAGGCCCGGCCGGCGCUUGCCGAUCAACCAAAUUUUUAUCCAGGUUGACCUCGGAUCAGGUAGGGAUACCCGCUGAACUUAAGCAUAUCAAUAAGCGGAGGA
This 345-nucleotide unclassified non-coding RNA is filed under the name soil metagenome. RNAcentral describes it as "partial contains 5.8S ribosomal RNA, internal transcribed spacer 2, and large subunit ribosomal RNA". The stretch from base 1 to 120 matches the Rfam family "5.8S ribosomal RNA", at positions 35 to 154 of the family's 154-position model. The record is from RNAcentral.